Molecule: ribosomal RNA, 447 nt
Filed under: uncultured bacterium
Lineage: Bacteria
Description: bacterial SSU rRNA
Rfam family: Bacterial small subunit ribosomal RNA
Source: RNAcentral
GAUCAUGGCUCAGAACGAACGCUGGCGGCAUGCCUAACACAUGCAAGUCGAACGAGACCUUCGGGGUCUAGUGGCGCACGGGUGCGUAACGCGUGGGAACCUGCCUUUAGGUUCGGAAUAACUCAGAGAAAUUUGAGCUAAUACCGGAUAAUGUCUUCGGACCAAAGAUUUAUCGCCUUUAGAUGGGCCCGCGUAAGAUUAGCUAGUUGGUGGGGUAAAGGCCUACCAAGGCGACGAUCUUUAGCUGGUCUGAGAGGAUGAUCAGCCACACUGGGACUGAGACACGGCCCAGACUCCUACGGGAGGCAGCAGUGGGGAAUAUUGGACAAUGGGCGAAAGCCUGAUCCAGCAAUGCCGCGUGAGUGAUGAAGGCCUUAGGGUUGUAAAGCUCUUUUACCCGAGAUGAUAAUGACAGUAUCGGGAGAAUAAGCUCCGGCUAACUACGUG